GAGCAAUACCGGAUGAAGAGGAGUAUAUGCAAGUGGGGCAGGGGUGGAGUAGCUGCAGAUUAAGUUAAACUGUUAUCUCAACUACGUGUGGUGGUUUGGGCUUGACCAUGGAGCCCUUGGGAAACCACUGUAAAGGUCAAAAUACAUGUUGUCUCUGCACGGCAGAGGAAAGGGAGGUGGGGUGGAUGGAAAGCAGAGGUACCAGAGACAGCUGCAAUGAGGAGGCUGAGAAAUGGUGAACUUCAGUCACAGCCACGGCAAAAAAAAAAAAAAAAAAAAAAAGGCAGAAGAGGUGGGAUUGUGAAGCCUGGGACUUAUCCCAGACACCCCUUCUCUCCUCCCCAUCAGUCACUGUUGGAACAGCACAGUCAAAGCAAGGCAUUUUCAGGGGGCAGCAGAUUUGUCUCAUUGCUGGAAGGCCUCAGCAGCAAGCACAUAUUCAGUUCAGUUGACACACACAAAGCCAAA
This 468-nucleotide long non-coding RNA is filed under the name Homo sapiens (human). RNAcentral's name for it is "HSALNT0048306". The record is from RNAcentral. Lineage: Eukaryota; Metazoa; Chordata; Mammalia; Primates; Hominidae.